AGCUUUCCAAAUCCGUGCAGAGAUUUCGUCAGACACCGACCCACCAGGGUUGAUGGGACUUUCAAGAUAAGUAAACUG
Non-coding RNA from Schistosoma mansoni, 78 nucleotides. NCBI's taxonomy places the organism in Eukaryota, Metazoa, Platyhelminthes, Trematoda, Strigeidida, Schistosomatidae. The record is from Rfam.